RNAcentral lists this ribosomal RNA (433 nucleotides) under uncultured bacterium. RNAcentral's name for it is "partial 16S ribosomal RNA". It matches the Rfam family "Bacterial small subunit ribosomal RNA", at positions 29 to 507 of the family's 1533-position model. The record is from RNAcentral.
AACGAACGCUGGCGGCAUGCCUAACACAUGCAAGUCGAACGAAGUCUUCGGACUUAGUGGCGCACGGGUGCGUAACGCGUGGGAAUCUGCCCUUGGGUACGGAAUAACUCAGAGAAAUUUGUGCUAAUACCGUAUAAUGUCUUCGGACCAAAGAUUUAUCGCCCAAGGAUGAGCCCGCGUAAGAUUAGCUAGUUGGUGGGGUAAAAGCCUACCAAGGCGACGAUCUUUAGCUGGUCUGAGAGGAUGAUCAGCCACACUGGGACUGAGACACGGCCCAGACUCCUACGGGAAGCAGCAGUGGGGAAUAUUGGACAAUGGGCGAAAGCCUGAUCCAGCAAUGCCGCGUGAGUGAUGAAGGCCCUAGGGUUGUAAAGCUCUUUUACCAGGGAUGAUAAUGACAGUACCUGGAGAAUAAGCGCCGGCUAACUCCGUG